GCAUAUCAAUAAGCGGAGGAAAAGAAACCAACAGGGAUUGCCUCAGUAACGGCGAGUGAAGCGGCAACAGCUCAAAUUUGAAAUCUGGCCUCGGCCCGAGUUGUAAUUUGUAGAGGAAGCUUUUGGUGCGGCACCGACCGAGUCCCCUGGAACGGGGCGCCAUAGAGGGUGAGAGCCCCGUAUGGUUGGACGCCUAUCCUCUGUAAAGCUCCUUCGACGAGUCGAGUAGUUUGGGAAUGCUGCUCAAAAUGGGAGGUAAAUUUCUUCUAAAGCUAAAUACUGGCCAGAGACCGAUAGCGCACAAGUAGAGUGAUCGAAAGAUGAAAAGCACUUUGAAAAGAGGGUUAAAUAGCACGUGAAAUUGUUGAAAGGGAAGCGCUUGUGAUCAGACUUGCGCCUCGUCGAUCAUCCGGGGUUCUCCCCGGUGCACUCGGCGGGGCUCAGGCCAGCAUCGGUUUUCGCGGGGGGACAAAGGCACCGGGAACGUAGCUCCUCCGGGAGUGUUAUAGCCCGGGGCGUAAUGCCCUCGCGGGGACCGAGGACCGCGCUUCGGCAAGGAUGCUGGCGUAAUGGUCAUCAGCGACCCGUCUUGAAACACGGACCAAGGAGUCAAGGUUUUGCGCGAGUGUUUGGGUGUAAAACCCGCACGCGUAAUGAAAGUGAACGUAGGUGAGAGCUUCGGCGCAUCAUCGACCGAUCCUGAUGUAUUCGGAUGGAUUUGAGUAGGAGCGUUAAGCCUUGGACCCGAAAGAUGGUGAACUAUGCUUGGAUAGGGUGAAGCCAGAGGAAACUCUGGUGGAGGCUCGCAGCGGUUCUGACGUGCAAAUCGAUCGUCAAAUCUGAGCAUGGGGCGAAAGACUAAUCGAACCAUCUAGUAGCUGGUUACCGCCGAAU
RNAcentral lists this ribosomal RNA (894 nucleotides) under Zopfiella ovina. RNAcentral's name for it is "LSU rRNA". It matches the Rfam family "Eukaryotic large subunit ribosomal RNA", at positions 38 to 966 of the family's 3401-position model. The record is from RNAcentral. Lineage: Eukaryota; Fungi; Ascomycota; Sordariomycetes; Sordariales; Chaetomiaceae.